UAUUGCACAAUGGGCGCAAGCCUGAUGCAGCCAUGCCGCGUGUAUGAAGAAGGCCUUCGGGUUGUAAAGUACUUUCAGCAGUGAGGAAGGUGGGUAUGUUAAUAGCAUAUUCAUUUGACGUUAGCUGCAGAAGAAGCACCGGCUAACUCCGUGCCAGCAGCCGCGGUAAUACGGAGGGUGCGAGCGUUAAUCGGAAUUACUGGGCGUAAAGCGCAUGCAGGUGGUUUGUUAAGUCAGAUGUGAAAGCCCGGGGCUCAACCUCGGAAUUGCAUUUGAAAACUGGCAAACUAGAGUACUGUAGAGGGGGUAGAAUUUCAGGUGUAGCGGUGAAAUGCGUAGAGAUCUGAAGGAAUACCGGUGGCGAAGGCGGCCCCCUGGACAGAUACUGACACUCAGAUGCGAAAGCGUGGGGAGCAAACAGGAUUAGAUACCCUGGUAG
Molecule: ribosomal RNA, 439 nt
Filed under: uncultured bacterium
Lineage: Bacteria
Description: bacterial SSU rRNA
Rfam family: Bacterial small subunit ribosomal RNA
Source: RNAcentral